UUGGAGGGCAAGUCUGGUGCCAGCAGCCGCGGUAAUUCCAGCUCCAAUAGCGUAUAUUAAAGUUGUUGCAGUUAAAAAGCUCGUAGUUGAACUUCAGACCUGACCGGGUGGUCCGCCUAACGGUGUGUACUGUCUGGCCGGGCCUUACCUCUUGGUGAGCCGGCAUGCCCUUAAUUGGGUGUGUCGGGGAACCAGGACCUUUACCUUGAGAAAAUUAGAGUGUUCAAAGCAGGCUUACGCCGGAAUACAUUAGCAUGGAAUAAUAAAAUAGGACGUGCGGUU
Molecule: ribosomal RNA, 282 nt
Filed under: uncultured Basidiomycota
Lineage: Eukaryota; Fungi; Basidiomycota
Description: partial 18S ribosomal RNA
Rfam family: Eukaryotic small subunit ribosomal RNA
Source: RNAcentral